This 440-nucleotide ribosomal RNA is filed under the name uncultured bacterium. RNAcentral describes it as "partial 16S ribosomal RNA". It matches the Rfam family "Bacterial small subunit ribosomal RNA", at positions 338 to 795 of the family's 1533-position model. The record is from RNAcentral.
CCUACGGGUGGCAGCAGUGGGGAAUAUUGCACAAUGGGGGAGACCCUGAUGCAGCGACGCCGCGUGAGUGAAGAAGUAAUUCGUUAUGGAAAGCUCUAUCAGCAGGGAAGAAAAUGACGGUACCUGAGUAAGAAGCCCCGGCUAACUACGUGCCAGCAGCCGCGGUAAUACGUAGGGAGCAAGCGUUAUCCGGAUUUACUGGGUGUAAAGGGGGCGUAGACGGCAGUGCAGGUCUGGAGUGAAAGGCGGGGGCUCAACCCCCGGACUGCUCUGGAAACUGUACGGCUGGAGUGCAGGAGAGGUAAGUGGAAUUCCUGGUGUAGCGGUGAAAUGCUUAGAUAUUAGGCGGAACACCAGUGGCGAAGGCGGCUUACUGGACUGUAACUGACGUUGAGGCUCGAAAGCGUGGGGAGCAAACAGGAUUAGAUACCCCUGUAGUC